This 1304-nucleotide long non-coding RNA is filed under the name Mus musculus (house mouse). RNAcentral's name for it is "long non-coding RNA chr19:32745353-32746657". Lineage: Eukaryota; Metazoa; Chordata; Mammalia; Rodentia; Muridae. The record is from RNAcentral.
GCAAGCUGGCCCUUCCAGCUUAGAAAACAGGCUGAGCAAGCCAGGGCGGAGCAAGUCAGUAAGCAGCAUUCCUCCAUGUCUCCUGUGUCACUUUCUGCCUUGACUUGCCUCAGUGAUGCAGUGUGAUCCGAGAUGUAUAAACCACAUGAAUCUCCCGGUUGCUUUGCUUGUGUUGUUAUCACAGCAAUAGAAAGCAAAUCAGAGCCAGGCAUGGUGGCACACGCCUUUAAUCCCAGCACUUGGGAGGCAGAGGCAGGCAGAUUUCUGAGUUCGAGGCCAGCCUGGUCUACAAAGUGAGUUCCAGGACAGCCAGGGCUAUACAGAGAAACCCUGUCUCGAAAAACCAAAAAAAAAAAAAAAAGAAAAAAGAAAAAAAAAAAAAGAAAGCAAAUCAGGACACUACCUAAGAAAAGAAGAACCUAUUUCCUUCUUUCCACACAGUCAAGAUUCCAAACAGAUGAUGAGAAAGUCCUCUGCUUCCUAGCCUAUGCCUUGGCUCUGUUCCCCUCCCCCACCUCCCAGCAGGUAUAAUAUCUAAACUGUGUCAGAAGACCGUGACUACGGUAUGAUGGUGUUAGACGACAUCCGCUCAGCGCUGCUUGCUUCAGGACCAAGGUUUAGGUGACACCACAGAGCCCAUAGUCUUCCUGCACUUUCCCUAGUUGUGAGAAGGAUGGGAAAAGUGAGAAGAAUAAGCUCGUUUUUAUUCUGUGAUUCUGCGAGCCAGAUUUAACCAUAAGUUACUAAAACUUGAGAUAUUUCCAUGGUGACAAAUGGAUAUAACUGACUCUUUUUUAUCCUGGUUUAUAAUCUUCUAUCACAGGAGAACAUCACGUUUUGCUAUUUUAUAUAUAUCACACACACACACACAUACAUACACACACAUAUAUAUUUUAUUUUUAUGUGUAUAGAUAUUUUGCCUGCAUGCAUGUCUAUAUACCAUAUGUAUGCCCAAUGCCCAAGGUAGCCAGAAUAAGGUGUUGGAUCCCUAGAAUCAGAGUUGAAGAUAGUUGUGAGUUAUCAUGUAGGUGCUAAAGACCCAGGAAGAGUAGCAUAUAUUCUUAACCACUCAACAACAACAACAACUUCUUCUUCUUCUUCUUCCUCUUCUUCCUCUUCUUCCUCUUCCUCUUCCUCUUCUUCUUCUCUUCUCCUCCUUCUUCUCUUCUCCUCCUCUUUCUUCUCUCUUCCUCCUCCUCCUCCUCCUUCUUCUCUCCUCCUCCUCCUUCUUCUCUCCUCCUCCUCCUCCUUCUCUCUUCCUCCUCCUCCUUCUUCUCCCCUUUCCUCUUCUUCCUCUCUCUCUC